GCAGACACAUUCCAGCCAAUCAGCAGCGGACCUUCCCUCCCAGGCCCUCCCACUUCCUGGACAGCAUCCAUUUUGAAGCUGCAUUCUUAGUGAGCUGUCCAGGAGGUGGGAGGGUCUGGGAGGGAGGGUCUGCUGCUGAUUGGCUGGAAUGUGUCUG
RNAcentral lists this microRNA precursor (157 nucleotides) under Pelobates cultripes (western spadefoot toad). Lineage: Eukaryota; Metazoa; Chordata; Amphibia; Anura; Pelobatidae. The record is from RNAcentral.